UACGUAGGUGGCAAGCGUUAUCCGGAAUUACUGGGCGUAAAGCGCACGCAGGCGGUCUGUUAAGUUUGACGUGAAAGCUCCCGGCUUAACUGGGAGAGGUCGUUGAAGACUGGCAGACUUGAGGCGAUGAGAGGGGUGUAGAAUUCCCGGUGUAGUGGUGGAAUGCGUAGAUAUCGGGGGGAAUACCAGUGGCGAAGGCGCUACACUAGAACGGCUCUGACAGUGAGGGACGAAGCCCUGGGGCGCAAACCGG
Molecule: ribosomal RNA, 253 nt
Filed under: uncultured bacterium
Lineage: Bacteria
Description: partial 16S ribosomal RNA
Rfam family: Bacterial small subunit ribosomal RNA
Source: RNAcentral